GACGAACGCUGGCGGCGUGCUUAACACAUGCAAGUCGAACGGAAAGGCCCUGCUUUUGUGGGGUGCUCGAGUGGCGAACGGGUGAGUAACACGUGAGUAACCUGCCCUUGACUUUGGGAUAACUUCAGGAAACUGGGGCUAAUACCGGAUAGGAGCUCCUGCUGCAUGGUGGGGGUUGGAAAGUUUCGGCGGUUGGGGAUGGACUCGCGGCUUAUCAGCUUGUUGGGGGGGUUGUGGCUUACCAAGGCUUUGACGGGUAGCCGGCCUGGGAGGGUGACCGGCCACAUUGGGACUGAGGUACGGCCCAGACUCCAACGGGAGGCAGCGGUGGGGAAUAUUGCACAAUGGGCGGAAGCCUGAUGCGGCAACGCCGCGUGCGGGAUGACGGCUUUCGGGUUGUAAACCGCUUUCGCCUGUGACGAAGCGUGAGUGACGGUAAUGGGUAAAGAAGCACCGGCUAACUACGUG
RNAcentral lists this ribosomal RNA (468 nucleotides) under uncultured bacterium. Its description in RNAcentral is "partial 16S ribosomal RNA". It matches the Rfam family "Bacterial small subunit ribosomal RNA", at positions 28 to 507 of the family's 1533-position model. The record is from RNAcentral.